This 474-nucleotide ribosomal RNA is filed under the name uncultured bacterium. Its description in RNAcentral is "bacterial SSU rRNA". It matches the Rfam family "Bacterial small subunit ribosomal RNA", at positions 1 to 465 of the family's 1533-position model. The record is from RNAcentral.
CCCUUAGAGUUUGAUCCUGGCUCAGGAUGAACGCUAGCUACAGGCUUAACACAUGCAAGUCGAGGGGCAGCAUGGUCUUAGCUUGCUAAGGCUGAUGGCGACCGGCGCACGGGUGAGUAACACGUAUCCAACCUGCCGUCUACUCUUGGCCAGCCUUCUGAAAGGAAGAUUAAUCCAGGAUGGGAUCAUGAGUUCACAUGUCCGCAUGAUUAAAGGUAUUUUCCGGUAGACGAUGGGGAUGCGUUCCAUUAGAUAGUAGGCGGGGUAACGGCCCACCUAGUCAACGAUGGAUAGGGGUUCUGAGAGGAAGGUCCCCCACAUUGGAACUGAGACACGGUCCAAACUCCUACGGGAGGCAGCAGUGAGGAAUAUUGGUCAAUGGGCGAUGGCCUGAACCAGCCAAGUAGCGUGAAGGAUGACUGCCCUAUGGGUUGUAAACUUCUUUUAUAAAGGAAUAAAGUCGGGUAUGCAUAC